AGACAACAAAAUGUUUAAUAUUAUUAUUUUGCCACCUUAGGUCGAUCGGUAUCUCACGUUCUUAAUUCAUUAAGAAUUUCAUUUCCUAAGUUUUUCUAGGUCACACCCAUUUUUUUCCUGGGCCAUUAGCUCAGGUGGUUAGAGCGCACCCCUGAUAAGGGUGAGGUCCCUGGUUCAAGUCCAGGAUGGCCCAUAUCUCUAUGUUGGGGGUAUAGCUCAGUUGGUAGAGCGCCUGCUUUGCAAGCAGGAUGUCAGCGGUUCGAGUCCGCUUACCUCCACUGAUUACCACCUCUUCCAUAAUCUGUAGAAAGGAAAUUUUUUGAGUUGUGAUCAAAUUCUGAACGAAUCUAGCUUCCUAAUGAAAUCAUUAAGAUGCUGGACUCAUUGAAUUAAUUUCAUUGUUUUCAGAGAACCUUGACAACUGCAUAGAUUAUUUUUAAAGACAAUAAGCAUCUUUAAUGAUGCAGAUUUAUUAUUUGUGCGAAUGCAUUAAUAACAAUUCUAUUAAGCUGAUGCUUCAAUUUUGAAGUUAUU
This 534-nucleotide transfer RNA is filed under the name uncultured cyanobacterium. Its description in RNAcentral is "partial 16S-23S intergenic spacer". The stretch from base 206 to 278 matches the Rfam family "tRNA". The record is from RNAcentral. Lineage: Bacteria; Bacillati; Cyanobacteriota.